This 452-nucleotide ribosomal RNA is filed under the name uncultured bacterium. RNAcentral describes it as "bacterial SSU rRNA". It matches the Rfam family "Bacterial small subunit ribosomal RNA", at positions 29 to 524 of the family's 1533-position model. The record is from RNAcentral.
AGCGAACGCUGGCGGCAGGCUUAACACAUGCAAGUCGAGCGGGCGUAGCAAUACGUCAGCGGCAGACGGGUGAGUAACGCGUGGGAACGUACCUUUUGGUUCGGAACAACCCGGGGAAACUUGGGCUAAUACCGGAUAAGCCCUUACGGGGAAAGAUUUAUCGCCAAAAGAUCGGCCCGCGUCUGAUUAGCUUGUUGGUGAGGUAACGGCUCACCAAGGCGACGAUCAGUAGCUGGUCUGAGAGGAUAAUCAGCCACAUUGGGACUGAGACACGGCCCAAACUCCUACGGGAGGCAGCAGUGGGGAAUAUUGGACAAUGGGCGCAAGCCUGAUCCAGCCAUGCCGCGUGAGUGAUGAAGGCCCUAGGGUUGUAAAGCUCUUUUGUGCGGGAAGAUAAUGACUGUACCGCAAGAAUAAGCCCCGGCUAACUUCGUGCCAGCAGCCGCAGUAAC